UGGAGGGCUUAACAAUUUUUUCUUUUAAAAACUAGUUUUUGGAAGAACAAUCGAAAGAGCCACUUUAAUCCGUUUAGACAAAAUAAAUUAGGAGAGAAAAUUGCGAAUCAAAUAUGGAAAUCGAAGGAAAACAAAAUAACAACAACAUGAGAAAACACUGAAUUAAUUAAUUAAAGUUAGUGCUAAUACAAUUAAAUAAAUAUAAGUUGCAAUUUAUAACAGAAUAAAAGAUUAAAGUUGAGGUUGGACCCCUUUUUGGCCCAUCAGUAGGCUGCCCAACCUUUGGGCUUGCAAUUUUAUGGACUUUUAAGUUCCAUUUCUCUGCACGUAUACCAGAUAUAUAUCACAACUCCAUUUCCUUGCGUUUUUGUGUAUAUAUUUUAAACACAUACAUACAACUUUUAGCCCCUCCCCCACCCCACCCCCCCACAUAAUCAGCUUCAUUUUCCAUUUUUCAACCGUAUAUCCUCAGCAUAUUGUUGUAUAUCUAUGUAUGCAACUUUGUUUCUCGACGGUUUUCGUCUAUCUUUUGAAUUUAGAGAAGGUUCGGACUCAACGGUAGACUGGGCCUCCACGACCCAUUGAAGAAAUGCAGGGAUGCGGGUCCGACUAGACUCCAACGAGGAUGCUCAUCAAAAAGAAGAAGUAAACGAUUAACUCAAUUCGAAAGACUCUUGCAUACAAUUUUUGUAAGAAAAAAAAAAGCUCUCAUUAACCAAUGUUAUUCAAAAGGGAAGAAAUUAAAUCUUUGAACAACUGCAGGCGAUUAGAAUAACAAAAAAUGAAAUGCUUCAAUUUUGAGAUUGUAUUGAAAACAAGAACAACCUAAAUUACUUUAUUCCAAGGAAAUAAAAAAUAUAUCCUAACUAAUUAAUCGACUUAGACAAGACUAAGCUAACAUUUACAAUUAUGCAACUACUCAUUAUCUCACUAAACUAACCAAUUUACCUAAACUAAUCAACUAUUUACUUUAUAAUCUCAACACAGUUGAAUAAAAUUUUGUUCAAAAAAUAGCUUGUUCAUCAAAUUUCAACAAUCUAAACAUGAGCAGAAAAAGGCACCAUUAUACAGAUAAAAUCUCCUUUUUAUUAAAUCACCAUAAACCCUCAAUAUAGAUGACUAAAUCAUGAGAAAGGAGAUAGGUACUUGGAGAGAUUCAUUAUCUCUACUUGAACUUAAAUAUUAUCAUUCAAAUGUGACCAUAGAGAAAGUAAUAAACCAAUAUCAUUCAAAACAGAUUUCAGACUAUCACAAUGGCAUACAAAGCAGAUUCACUUUUUCCGGUGAUCAAUUCUAAGCCAACACAUAACAUGACUUCGACUUAGCAUAUUUUUCAUCGAAAAAUCAAAACCUUUUUUUUAUUAGACGAGACCAGCCCACUCUCACAAUUAUUGCAAAAUUCCAGACUUACUAUAUUCAAGAGUAAAUAAGAAAAAAAUGCAAGAAAGAUGAAGUGCUUACAAAAUACUAAAGAGAAUUCAUACAAAAUCAAAUAAGUCCGAAUUCAACAUGAGACGAAACUCUAGUUACAGGAAACAAACUGGGUGAAAAGUUCACCUUUUUGGAGCAGCGAACGAGUCUUCAAAACCUUAUCGGAACAACUUCCACCACAAUUUCAGUGCUUUAAUGAAAUUCCAACGAUUUAGGAUGAAUUUUGAGAGUGCACUAAAAAUUUCUCGGUUACGUAGGGUUAGAGGUGAGCACCUCCAGAACCCUCAAGUUUUUCCUCAAGAAAUCCUCAUUCCUUUUCAUGGUGAAGAAAGGGCUAUUUAUAAAUGAAAUCUGGAUUUUCAAAUCCGGAAUUAAAGUGAAAUUUUUUUCAAAAAAAAUGUGUGGAUGGAGUUUGAAUUCAAAUUCAACAAAGAAUCUCUUUCAUAUCUUGAAUUAAUGAAGAAUUUCAGAACAAUUUUCGUUGUAUCACGGUUUGGGGACUAUUUCUCUGCCAUUGUUGGUUUCAACGGGUUGAAGAGCUAAGAAAUGGUGACGUGGCUGAGUUUUGGGAAUUGACGUUGUUUGUUGUUGAGGUUGUUAAACACCGUUUGUUGGAAUGGGUUUUUCCAUGGAAGUUGCUCGCAAUUGUUGUGGUUGCUGGUGGUUUUUUGUACUCUGUUAACUGUUGUUGUUGUUGUGUUGGAUAUUGACAAUAGGGGAAAAGAGGAUAAAGGAUGGGACAUGGGCCGGGUCAGCUGAUUUGAGAAUUGGGCCUGAUUGUUGUAUUGGGUUGGAGGCUGAUGGAUGGUUGUUGGGCUAAGUUGCUGAUGUAGUGU
This 2267-nucleotide long non-coding RNA is filed under the name Capsicum annuum. RNAcentral's name for it is "long non-coding RNA (CANN_LNC009776)". The record is from RNAcentral. Lineage: Eukaryota; Viridiplantae; Streptophyta; Magnoliopsida; Solanales; Solanaceae.